CCCAGUUCGGAUUGUAGUCUGCAACCCGACUACAUGAAGCUGGAAUCGCUAGUAAUCGCGGAUCAGAAUGCCGCGGUGAAUACGUUCCCGGGUCUUGUACACACCGCCCGUCACACCAUGGGAGUCGGAAAUGCCCGAAGUCUGUGACCCAACCUUAGGGAGGGAGCAGCCGAAGGCAGGUCGGAUGACUGGGGUGAAGUCGUAACAAGGUAGC
This 214-nucleotide ribosomal RNA is filed under the name uncultured bacterium. Its description in RNAcentral is "partial 16S ribosomal RNA". It matches the Rfam family "Bacterial small subunit ribosomal RNA", at positions 1287 to 1500 of the family's 1533-position model. The record is from RNAcentral.